UGGGGAAUCUUGGACAAUGGGCGCAAGCCUGAUCCAGCCAUGCCGCGUGGAUGAUGAAGGCCUUAGGGUUGUAAAAUCCUUUCGUGGGGGACGAUAAUGACGGUACCCCAAGAAGAAGCUCCGGCUAACUUCGUGCCAGCAGCCGCGGUAAUACGAAGGGGGCUAGCGUUGUUCGGAUUUACUGGGCGUAAAGCGCGUGUAGGCGGGUCGUUAAGUUGGGGGUGAAAUCCCGAGGCUCAACCUCGGAACUGCCUUCAAAACUGGCGACCUGGACUCAAGCAGAGGCAAGUGGAAUUGCGGGUGUAGCGGUGAAAUGCGUAGAUAUCUGGAGGAACACCGGUGGCGAAGGCGACAUCCUGGACCAAUUCUGACGCUGAGGAGCGAAAGCCAGGGGAGCAAACGGGAUUAGAUACCCUAGUAGUCCCUGAGCGGGCUGGCAAGGCGCAU
RNAcentral lists this ribosomal RNA (447 nucleotides) under uncultured bacterium. RNAcentral's name for it is "bacterial SSU rRNA". It matches the Rfam family "Bacterial small subunit ribosomal RNA", at positions 355 to 825 of the family's 1533-position model. The record is from RNAcentral.